GGUCGAGUAACUCAGUUGGUUCAGAGUGCCGCCCUUACAAGGCGGAAGUCCGGGGUUCGAGUCCCUGCUCGACCA
This 75-nucleotide transfer RNA is filed under the name Fidelibacterota bacterium. Its description in RNAcentral is "tRNA-Val". It matches the Rfam family "tRNA". From Rfam's summary of the family: Transfer RNA (tRNA) molecules are approximately 80 nucleotides in length. The record is from RNAcentral. Lineage: Bacteria; Pseudomonadati; Fidelibacterota.